This 496-nucleotide ribosomal RNA is filed under the name uncultured bacterium. RNAcentral's name for it is "partial 16S ribosomal RNA". It matches the Rfam family "Bacterial small subunit ribosomal RNA", at positions 28 to 506 of the family's 1533-position model. The record is from RNAcentral.
GAUGAACGCUGGCGGCGUGCCUAACACAUGCAAGUCGAGCGAACGGACGAGAAGCUUGUUUCUCUGAUGUUAGCGGCGGACGGGUGAGUAACACGUGGAUAAUCUACUUAUCAGUCUGGGAUAAUUACGGGAAACCGGAGCUAAUACCAGAUAAUAUUCUGAACCGCAUGGUUCAAAAGUGAAAGACGGUCUUUCUGUCACUUAUAGAUGGAUCCGCGCUGCAUUAGCUAGUUGGUAAGGUAACGGCUUACCAAGGCAACGAUGCAUAGCCGACCUGAGAGGGGGAUCGGCGACACUGGAGCUGAGACGCGAUCCAGACUCCUACGGGAGGCAGCAGUAGGGAAGCUUCCGCAAUGGGCGAAAGCCUGACGAAGCAGCGCCGCGUGGGUGAUGAAGGUCUUCGGAUCGUAAAACGCUGUUAUUGGGGAAGAACAUAUGUGUAAGUAACUGUGCGCAUCUUGACGGUACCUGAACAGAAAGCCACGGCUAACUACGU